AACGGCAGUAGACUAACAGGAUCCCUUAGUAACUGCGAGUGAAGAGGGAAAAGCUCAAAUUUAAAAUCUGGCAGCAUUUUGCUGUCCGAGUUGUAACCUAGAGAAGUGUAACCUGUGCUGGACCGUGUAUAAGUUUCCUGGAAUGGAGCAUCACAGAGGGUGAGAAUCCCGUCUUUGACAUGGACUACCAGUGCAUUGUGGUUAUGCUCUCAACGAGUCGAGUUGUUUGGGAAUGCAGCUCUAAAUGGGUGGUAAAUUCCAUCUAAAGCUAAAUAUUGGCGAGAGACCGAUAGCGAACAAGUACCGUGAGGGAAAGAUGAAAAGAACUUUGGAAAGAGAGUUAAACAGUAUGUGAAAUUGUUGAAAGGGAAACGUUUGAAGUCAGUCGCGUUAGCUGGGGAUCAGCCUGACAUUGUUGGGUGCACUUCCUGGUUGACGGGCCAACAUCAGUUUUGACUGCCAGAAAAAGGCCAAGGGAAUGUGGCACCUUUGGGUGUGUUAUAGCCUUUGGUCAUAUAUGGUGGUUGGGACUGAGGAACGCAGUGUGCCGAAAGGCCGGGUUUCGACCACGUUCACACUGAGGAUGUUGGCAUAAUGGCUUUAAGCGACCCGUCUUGAAACACGGACCAAGGAGUCUAACAUGCAUGCGAGUGUUUGGGUGGAAAACCCUUACGCGUAAUGAAAGUGAAAGUUGAGAUCCCUGUCGUGGGGAGCAUCGACGCCCGGACCAGAACUUUUGGGACGGAUCUGCGGUAGAGCACGUAUGUUGAGACCCGAAAGAUGGUGAACUAUGCCUGAAUAGGGUGAAGCCAGAGGAAACUCUGGUGGAGGCUCGUAGCGAUUCUGACGUGCAAAUCGAUCGUCAAAUUUGGGUAUAGGGGCGAAAGACUAAUCGAACCAUCUAGUAGCUGGUUCCUGCCGAUUUUCCCCCUCAGAAAAA
RNAcentral lists this ribosomal RNA (940 nucleotides) under Amanita spissacea. RNAcentral's name for it is "partial large subunit ribosomal RNA". It matches the Rfam family "Eukaryotic large subunit ribosomal RNA", at positions 53 to 981 of the family's 3401-position model. Lineage: Eukaryota; Fungi; Basidiomycota; Agaricomycetes; Agaricales; Amanitaceae. The record is from RNAcentral.